Molecule: ribosomal RNA, 496 nt
Filed under: uncultured bacterium
Lineage: Bacteria
Description: partial 16S ribosomal RNA
Rfam family: Bacterial small subunit ribosomal RNA
Source: RNAcentral
GAUGAACGCUGGCGGCGUGCCUAAUACAUGCGAGUCGAGCGAACAGACGAGGAGCUUGCUCCUCUGACGUUAGCGGCGGACGGGUGAGUAACACGUGGAUAACCUACCUAUAAGACUGGGAUAACUUCGGGAAACCGGAGCUAAUACCGGAUAAUAUAUUGAACCGCAUGGUUCAAUAGUGAAAGACGGUUUUGCUGUCACUUAUAGAUGGAUCCGCGCCGCAUUAGCUAGUUGGUAAGGUAACGGCUUACCAAGGCGACGAUGCGUAGCCGACCUGAGAGGGUGAUCGGCCACACUGAAACUGAGACACGGUCCAGACCCCUAGGGGAGGCAGCAGUAGGAAAUCUUCCGCAAUGGGCGAAAGCCUGACCGAGCAACGCGGCGUGGGUGAUGAAGGUCUUCGGAUCGUAAACCUCUGUUAUUAGGGAAGAAAAAAUGUGUAAGUAACUAUGCACGUCUUGACGGUACCUAAUAAGAAGCCACGGCUAACUACGUG